GAUGAACGCUGGCGGCGUGCCUAAUACAUGCAAGUCGAGCGAACGGACGAGAAGCUUGCUUCUCUGAUGUUAGCGGGUUACGGGUGAGUAACACGUGGAUAACCUACCUAUAAGACUGGGAUAACUUCGGGAAACCGGAGCUAAUACCGGAUAAUAUUUUGAACCGCAUGGUUCAAAAGUGAAAGACGGUCUUGCUGUCACUUAUAGAUGGAUCCGCGCUGCAUUAGCUAGUUGGUAAGGUAACGGCUUACCAAGGCAACGAUGCAUAGCCGACCUGAGAGGGUGAUCGGCCACACUGGAACUGAGACACGGUCCAGACUCCUACGGGAGGCAGCAGUAGGGAAUCUUCCGCAAUGGGCGAAAGCCUGACGGAGCAACGCCGCGUGAGUGAUGAAGGUCUUCGGAUCGUAAAACUCUGUUAUUAGGGAAGAACAUAUGUGUAAGUAACUGUGCACAUCUUGACGGUACCUAAUCAGAAAGCCACGGCUAACUACGUG
RNAcentral lists this ribosomal RNA (497 nucleotides) under uncultured bacterium. RNAcentral describes it as "partial 16S ribosomal RNA". It matches the Rfam family "Bacterial small subunit ribosomal RNA", at positions 28 to 507 of the family's 1533-position model. The record is from RNAcentral.